This 301-nucleotide ribosomal RNA is filed under the name uncultured bacterium. RNAcentral describes it as "partial 16S ribosomal RNA". It matches the Rfam family "Bacterial small subunit ribosomal RNA", at positions 509 to 807 of the family's 1533-position model. The record is from RNAcentral.
CAGCAGCCGCGGGAAUACGUAGGGUGCGAGCGUUAAUCGGAAUUACUGGGCGUAAAGCGUGCGCAGGCGGUUAUAUAAGACAGAUGUGAAAUCCCCGGGCUCAACCUGGGACCUGCAUUUGUGACUGUAUAGCUAGAGUACGGUAGAGGGGGAUGGAAUUCCGCGUGUAGCAGUGAAAUGCGUAGAUAUGCGGAGGAACACCGAUGGCGAAGGCAAUCCCCUGGACAAAGACUGACGCUCAGGUGCGAUAGCGUGGUGAGCAAACAGGAUUAGAGACCCCAGUAGUCCCUGUCUCUUAUAC